This 416-nucleotide ribosomal RNA is filed under the name uncultured bacterium. RNAcentral's name for it is "bacterial SSU rRNA". It matches the Rfam family "Bacterial small subunit ribosomal RNA", at positions 355 to 787 of the family's 1533-position model. The record is from RNAcentral.
UGGGGAAUAUUGCACAAUGGGGAAAGACCCUGAUGCAGCGACGCCGCGUUGAGGAAGAAGGCCCUCGGGUUGUAAACUCCUGUCUUUGGGGACGAUAAUGACGGUACCCAAGGAGGAAGCCACGGCUAACUACGUGCCAGCAGCCGCGGUAAAACGUAGGUGGCAAGCGUUGUCCGGAAUUACUGGGUGUAAAGGGAGCGCAGGCGGAGCGGCAAGUUGGAGGUGAAACCCAUGGGCUCAACCCAUGAACUGCCUUCAAAACUGUCGGUCUUGAGUGGUGUAGAGGUAAGCGGAAUUCCCGGUGUAGCGGUGGAAUGCGUAGAUAUCGGGAGGAACACCAGUGGCGAAGGCGGCUUACUGGGCACUAACUGACGCUGAGGCUCGAAAGCGUGGGGAGCAAACAGGAUUAGAUACCC